Molecule: non-coding RNA, 29 nt
Filed under: Mus musculus (house mouse)
Lineage: Eukaryota; Metazoa; Chordata; Mammalia; Rodentia; Muridae
Source: RNAcentral
CAGCACCUGAAAAGGUACAAGGUUUUGCC